AAAAAUCUCUCGUGCUUUCUGGUUACUCUCUCUCGCCACUUGCUCUCUUUCUGUCACUCUCACUCUCUGGCUCUCGCUCCCUCUCUAACACUCUGUCUAUUUGUGGCUCGCUCCAAACUCACAUUCUUUACCCGAUUUUAUCACUCAAAUUUUAGGUUUAUUUACAUUUAAAAUUUUUUUAGGGUAUGGAUAUGGCUGAUUUAGGAAUGGUUUUAGUUUUGGGCAUUGGUAUUUAAUUUAAUUCCCUUUGCUUUGAGAUUUAUGAAAUCCAAUAUGCCAUUUGUGAUUAUUUUUAAAUCUUUUCUUUUUGUUAUAAAAUUUUAAUGGAUUCAUUUUGAUUUUUCGUUAUACUCCAGGUGCUAGGGGUUAAACUUUUGGCUACUGCAGCUAUUGUUGGGAAACAAACAGGACGUGUGGGCAAUUGAUUUUUUCUUAUCCUUUGGUUAGGUAUUAAAUCCAAUUAAUUGAUUUUUUUUUUCUGUUGAAAUUUUAGUAGUGCACUAAAUUUCUCUGUUACUGAGUAAUAUAAUUUUGUUGACAUUUGAAUAUAGUAUCCUGGUUGCUCUUGGCUAGGUUUGCAGAAUUUUACUUUUGGUUUUAGCCCCUUAAUUGCACCUCUGUUUUGGUUUUGCUUUGCGAUUGUCUUGGUGUAAUGCUUGGACAUGCUGUUGAGUUAAAUUUGUAGGUUUUUUUUAGUUACAAAUUUCGUCUUCGUGGCCUUGAUGCUAUGCUUUUGCAGAAUUCUGCUGCUCUUAAUUGGUUUUGCAAUAUUUUACUUCUCUUGCUUUGGACACAUAGCUGCAUAUUUGUCCUACAUGUAAUUUUGAAUCUUAUUUGCAUGAGUUAGGGGGAUGCUAAGAUGCAUGAGUUAAUUAAUGGUCAGAAUUAGAGAGCUUAUAUUUGGGUUAUUUGGUUAUGCAUAUAAUUUGAUUUGAUACUAGUUGAAAAUAGAUGGCAGAUUUGAAUGUUGAGAAAAGCACUGAAAUUGCAUUUGAAUAUAUAGGGAUUCAAAAUGAAAGGUUUUAAAUUUGAUAUGGUUAUCUGGUAUUUAUAAUAGAUUUUUUCUAAUGAGGUAGAUUCAAAGGACGAGAAUGCGAAAGAAAACUUGUUUGAAUAUAAAGGUGUGAGAUGGUUAUUAUCUAUUGUGGCUGCUAUUUGCUGAUGUUAAUUUGCUGCAUCCUAUAGUUCAUGAUUCAUGUAUGUAUGGCUGUGAUGUGUCAGUACAGAAAAUUUUUACCCUUCUUGAACAUUCUGCGAGAAAAAUAUUUCUAAUGAUUCUGUAACUACAAAAAUUUGAGUUGAUUACUUCUGUGUGAGAGUGGUGCCUUGGUGGGCUGAUGCCGUGAUUAGGGGUGUGCAAACGGUCGGUUC
This 1371-nucleotide unclassified non-coding RNA is filed under the name Hevea brasiliensis (rubber tree). The record is from RNAcentral. Lineage: Eukaryota; Viridiplantae; Streptophyta; Magnoliopsida; Malpighiales; Euphorbiaceae.